This 554-nucleotide ribosomal RNA is filed under the name uncultured bacterium. RNAcentral's name for it is "partial 16S ribosomal RNA". It matches the Rfam family "Bacterial small subunit ribosomal RNA", at positions 355 to 900 of the family's 1533-position model. The record is from RNAcentral.
UAGGGAAUCUUCCACAAUGGACGCAAGUCUGAUGGAGCAACGCCGCGUGAGUGAAGAAGGUUUUCGGACCGUAAAGCUCUGUUGUUGGUGAAGAAGGAUAGAGGUAGUAACUGGCCUUUAUUUGACGGUAAUCAACCAGAAAGUCACGGCUAACUACGUGCCAGCAGCCGCGGUAAUACGUAGGUGGCAAGCGUUGUCCGGAUUUAUUGGGCGUAAAGCGAGCGCAGGCGGAAGAAUAAGUCUGAUGUGAAAGCCCUCGGCUUAACCGAGGAAUUGCAUCGGAAACUGUUUUCUGAGUGCAGAAGAGGAGAGUAGAACUCCAUGUGUAGCGGUGGAAUGCGUAGAUAUAUGGAAGAAUACCAGUGGCGAAGGCGGCUCUCUGGUCUGCAACUGACGCUGAGGCUCGAAAGCAUGGGUAGCGAACAGGAUUAGAUACCCUGGUAGUCCAUGCCGUAAACGAUGAGUGCUAAGUGUUGGGAGGCUUCCGCCUCUCAGUGCUGCAGCUAACGCAUUAAGCACUCCGCCUGGGGGAGUACGACCGCAAAGGUUGAAAC